GUCUUUUUGAAAUAAAUUUAAAGUCUGACCUGCCCACUGAUAUUAUUAAAGGGCCGCGGUAUUUUGACCGUGCAAAGGUAGCAUAAUCAUUAGUUUUUUAAUUGAAAGCUUGUAUGAAUGGUUGGACGAAAUAUUUACUGUCUCAUAAAAAUUUAUAUUAGAAAUUAAUUUUUUUGUUAAAAAGCAAAAAUAAAUUUAAAGGACGAGAAGACCCUAUAGAGCUUUAUAAUUUUAUUAUUUAAUUUUUUAAGGAAAUUUUAAAUUUUAUAAAAAUAAUUAUUUUGUUGGGGUGACAAUAAAAUUUAUAAAACUUUUAUUAUAAAUGAAACAUUGAUUAAUGAAUAUUUGAUCCAUUAUUAAUGAUUAAAAAAUUAAGUUACCUUAGGGAUAACAGCGUAAUUUUUUUUAAGAGUUCAUAUCGACAAAAAAGAUUGCGACCUCGAUGUUGGAUUAAGAAUUAUUUUUAGGUGUAGAAGUUUAAAGUUUAGGUCUGUUCGACCUUUGAAUUCUU
RNAcentral lists this ribosomal RNA (511 nucleotides) under Dicranomyia kauaiensis. RNAcentral describes it as "partial 16S ribosomal RNA". It matches the Rfam family "Bacterial large subunit ribosomal RNA", at positions 1819 to 2597 of the family's 2925-position model. Lineage: Eukaryota; Metazoa; Arthropoda; Insecta; Diptera; Limoniidae. The record is from RNAcentral.